GAUGAACGCUGGCGGCGUGCCUAAUACAUGCAAGUCGAGCGAACAGACGAGGAGCUUGCUCCUCUGACGUUAGCGGCGGACGGGUGAGUAACACGUGGAUAACCUACCUAUAAGACUGGGAUAACUUCGGGAAACCGGAGCUAAUACCGGAUAAUAUAUUGAACCGCAUGGUUCAAUAGUGAAAGACGGUUUUGCUGUCACUUAUAGAUGGAUCCGCGCCGCAUUAGCUAGUUGGUAAGGUAACGGCUUACCAAGGCAACGAUGCGUAGCCGACCUGAGAGAGUGAUCGGCCACACUCGAACUGAGACACGGUCCAGAAUCCUACGGGAGGCAGCAGUAGGGAAUCUUCCGCAAUGGGCGAAAGCCUGACGGAGCAACGCCGCGUGAGUGAUGAAGGUCUUCGGAUCGUAAAGCUCUGUUAGUAGGGAAGAACAUAUGUGUAAGUAACUAUGCACGUCUUGACGGUACCUAAUCAGAAAGCGACGGCUAAAUACGUG
RNAcentral lists this ribosomal RNA (497 nucleotides) under uncultured bacterium. RNAcentral's name for it is "partial 16S ribosomal RNA". It matches the Rfam family "Bacterial small subunit ribosomal RNA", at positions 28 to 507 of the family's 1533-position model. The record is from RNAcentral.